Molecule: ribosomal RNA, 482 nt
Filed under: uncultured bacterium
Lineage: Bacteria
Description: partial 16S ribosomal RNA
Rfam family: Bacterial small subunit ribosomal RNA
Source: RNAcentral
AUUGAACGCUGGCGGCAUGCCUUACACAUGCAAGUCGAACGGUAACAGGUCUUCGGAUGCUGACGAGUGGCGCACGGGUGAGUAAUACAUCGGAACGUGCCCGAUCGUGGGGGAUAACGAGGCGAAAGCUUUGCUAAUACCGCAUACGAUCUACGGAUGAAAGCGGGGGAUCUUCGGACCUCGCGCGGCCGGAGCGGCCGAUGGCAGAUUAGGUAGUUGGUGGGAUAAAAGCUUACCAAGCCGACGAUCUGUAGCUGGUCUGAGAGGAUGAUCAGCCACACUGGGACUGAGACACGGCCCAGACUCCUACGGGAGGCAGCAGUGGGGAAUUUUGGACAAAGGGCGAAAGCCUGAUCCAGCCAUGCCGCGUGCAGGAUGAAGGCCUUUGGGUUGUAAACUGCUUUUGUACGGAACGAAAAGCCUCUUUCUAAUAAAGAGGGGUCAUGACGGUACCGUAAGAAUAAGCACCGGCUAACUACGUG